CCCUUGACUCUGGGAUAAGCCUGGGAAACUGGGUCUAAUACUGGAUACUACAUGUCCCUGCAUGGGGGUGUGUGGAAAGGGUUUUACUGGUUUUGGAUGGGCUCACGGCCUAUCAGCUUGUUGGUGGGGUAAUGGCCUACCAAGGCGACGACGGGUAGCCGGCCUGAGAGGGUGACCGGCCACACUGGGACUGAGACACGGCCCAGACUCCUACGGGAGGCAGCAGUGGGGAAUAUUGCACAAUGGGCGAAAGCCUGAUGCAGCGACGCCGCGUGAGGGAUGACGGCCUUCGGGUUGUAAACCUCUUUCAGCACGGAAGAAGCGAAAGUGACGGUACGUGCAGAAGAAGCGCCGGCUAACUACGUGCCAGCAGCCGCGGUAAUACGUAGGGCGCAAGCGUUGUCCGGAAUUAUUGGGCGUAAAGAGCUCGUAGGCGGUUUGUCGCGUCUGCUGUGAAAGCCCGGGGCUUAACCCCGUGGUGUGCAGUGGGUACGGGCAGACUAGAGUGCAGUAGGGGAGACUGGAAUUCCUGGUGUAGCGGUGAAAUGCGCAGAUAUCAGGAGGAACACCGAUGGCGAAGGCAGGUCUCUGGGCUGUUACUGACGCUGAGGAGCGAAAGCAUGGGGAGCGAACAGGAUUAGAUACCCUGGUAGUCCAUGCCGUAAACGUUGGGCACUAGGUGUGGGGGACAUUCCACGUUUUCCGCGCCGUAGCUAACGCAUUAAGUGCCCCGCCUGGGGAGUACGGCCGCAAGGCUAAAACUCAAAGGAAUUGACGGGGGCCCGCACAAGCGGCGGAACAUGCGGAUUAAUUCGAUGCAACGCGAAGAACCUUACCAAGGCUUGACAUACACCAGACCGGCCCAGAGAUGGGUUUUCCUCUUUGAGGUUGGUGUACAGGUGGUGCAUGGUUGUCGUCAGCUCGGGUCGGGAAAUGUUGGGUUAAGUCCCGCAACGAGGGCAACCCUCGUUCUAUGUUGCCAGCACGUGAUGGUGGGGACU
This 1001-nucleotide ribosomal RNA is filed under the name Kocuria carniphila. RNAcentral's name for it is "bacterial SSU rRNA". It matches the Rfam family "Bacterial small subunit ribosomal RNA", at positions 129 to 1139 of the family's 1533-position model. The record is from RNAcentral. Lineage: Bacteria; Bacillati; Actinomycetota; Actinomycetes; Micrococcales; Micrococcaceae.